AAUAGAUACCCAGGUAGUCCACGCCCUAAGCGAUGCGAACUGGAUGUUGGGUUCAACUUGGAACCCAGUAUCGAAGCUAACGCGUUAAGUUCGCCGCCUGGGGAGUACGGUCGCAAGACUGAAACUCAAAGGAAUUGACGGGGGCCCGCACAAGCGGUGGAGUAUGUGGUUUAAUUCGAUGCAACGCGAAGAACCUUACCUGGUCUUGACAUCCACGGAACUUUCCAGAGAUGGAUUGGUGCCUUCGGGAACCGUGAGACAGGUGCUGCAUGGCUGUCGCCAGCUCGUGUCGUGAGAUGUUGGGUUAAGUCCCGCAACGAGCGCAACCCUUGUCCUUAGUUGCCAGCACGUAAUGGUGGGAACUCUAAGGAGACCGCCGGUGACAAACCGGAGGAAGGUGGGGAUGACGUCAAGUCAUCAUGGCCCUUACGACCAGGGCUACACACGUACUACAAUGGUGGGGACAGAGGGCCGCAAUCCCGCGAGGGUGAGCCAAUCCCAGAAACCCCGAUCUCAGUCCGGAUCGGAGUCUGCAACUCGACUCCG
RNAcentral lists this ribosomal RNA (546 nucleotides) under uncultured bacterium. RNAcentral's name for it is "bacterial SSU rRNA". It matches the Rfam family "Bacterial small subunit ribosomal RNA", at positions 777 to 1320 of the family's 1533-position model. The record is from RNAcentral.